This 73-nucleotide transfer RNA is filed under the name Sphaerothecum destruens. RNAcentral's name for it is "tRNA-Glu". It matches the Rfam family "tRNA". From Rfam's summary of the family: Transfer RNA (tRNA) molecules are approximately 80 nucleotides in length. Their secondary structure includes four short double-helical elements and three loops (D, anti-codon, and T loops). Further hydrogen bonds mediate the characteristic L-shaped molecular structure. tRNAs have two regions of fundamental functional importance: the anti-codon, which is responsible for specific mRNA codon recognition, and the 3' end, to which the tRNAs corresponding amino acid is attached (by aminoacyl-tRNA synthetases). tRNAs cope with the degeneracy of the genetic code in two manners: having more than one tRNA (with a specific anti-codon) for a particular amino acid; and 'wobble' base-pairing, i.e. permitting non-standard base-pairing at the 3rd anti-codon position. Lineage: Eukaryota; Ichthyosporea; Dermocystida. The record is from RNAcentral.
GUCUUUAUAAUUUAAGAGGUUAGAAUAUUUGAUUUUCAUUCAAAAUAUGCUGGUUCAAGUCCAGUUAAGGAUA